Long non-coding RNA from Gallus gallus (chicken), 4302 nucleotides. The record is from Ensembl. NCBI's taxonomy places the organism in Eukaryota, Metazoa, Chordata, Aves, Galliformes, Phasianidae.
GGAAGAGAAAAAGCAAAGUACAAAAGCUUCACUGUGUAAGAAGUGUGAAAGACUUCUAGCAUGUAGCUCUGUUAAAGGCCUGGCUGAUAGCUCUGUACAGCAGAAAAUCUCUUCCACCAUCAUUCACUGAGGGCUUGGAUUUAUUGGGCAGCUGCUUGCUUUGCUUCUGUGGCAGAGAGCAGGGAUUUGCCAAACAGAUUUGAUGGUGCCAUGUAAAAUUUGCAAAUUCAUUUUCACGUAAUGACCCAAGACUGGAACUUCACAGACUGAGUCUUCUCAGAGGUGUUCAUUGGCAGAAGGAUGAAAAGAUUGUCUCCACAAUACGAGGAAUCUUUAAAUCCUACUCUCCGUCUGACCUGAGAUGCUCAUCUCCCAACCCAAGCCUCUCCCUGGGCUGUAUCAAAUUCAUUCACUGCUACCUGCUCUCUUGCAUUUACAAAUUACAUACAAUAUUCUGGUUAGAAAAUGGAGAAUCUGGAAGCCUUCACUGAUAAUACCAGGACUUCCUUUGCCAAAUGCAUUAUUCCGCUGAGAAGAUGCUGUGAUUUUCUUCUAAAUUCUAGGAAAAGCUGGAAGAAACUGGCUUGUGGCCUGAGAAGGAGGCUGGAACCACAAAGGAUUGCACCGCUAUCAUUCAUGAGAUCAUCUGAUAGAUCUGUGUGCUGUGUUUGACAACUCUUAGCCUCUGGAAGAUGUUUUUUUUUAAGGCAAUCUGUUCCUAUCCUUAAUUAGAAAAACAAUGGACAAAAAAGAGCCUGCACUGUGGUCACUUGGCUUUCUGCGUUUACAUUUCCAUUUAUUGUGUUCAUUAAGUGCAUGUAACAAGAAUCUCCACAGGCUUUGGUGUACAGAGGGUUACCAAAUUGUUUUUUGUAUGUGGACUUCCAAUUAAAAUUUCCAAUUUCCAGGUCCACUGCUUUGUCUCUACGAGCUCCAAAGAGAACCAAAAGCGGGGAGAAAUGGCUCCACAAAUUUCAGCCUCUGUACUUAUUACAAUCUGGUUAGGAGGCUCCUGCUAUUCACCGGCUUAGAAAACAAUUUGAAAUUCAAAUUAAAGUGGCUGUGAGGGAGCUAUAGUCUCGUUCUUCUGUACAGAAGUGUGUCUGCAGAGCUCUGCAAGAAAGCAUAAAAGCUUUGACAAUGAUCAGUCUCUCAGCUUGUGCACACUUAGAGGCCAAGUUCAAAGUCAAGUAGCUAAAUGGUCCUAAGGAAAGUGUCCCAUGUGAUGCCUCAGAGGUCUAGUGCUCAUUCCCAUUAAAGCCAUUUUGGUACUUUCACACGCCUUUGAUAAUGAACAAGAUUCAAAACAUCUUCGCUUUUCUCACUGGUGGCACGGUUUCAAGGAUGACAUGGGCAGCUUCCUAUUUAUGGAGUUCAUUUUACAGGCUUCUUUAUCAACUCCAUUAAUAUUUAUGUAAACUCAAAUUGCUUUCAAUGUCAUUAUCACAACAUAUCAUUUUGCUUCAUUGCAUGUAUUGUAACUCCAAAAGAUAGUUUGACAAGGUUAGGCCCUUACAUAUGCUUAAUGAUGUGUACCUGAUUUUAGCAUUUGCUUAGAUGUGUAUCGGUAUUUGUAUUUUGUAUGCUCCUCUUGGCGCUAUAGGAGUCCUAUAUGAUGAGCUGCAGAAGCUACUGAAGGAAAGGAUGAAUCGAGACAAUUUGCAGAAGUGGAGGCCAUCCAGCUCUACCUCUACACUGACUCUUGAAUGGUGGCAAAUGCCCUGUGGGAAUGGUUACAGCAAUGGAAGCAGAACAGCUGGCAGUACAGAGGAAAACUCAUCUGGGUCACUGCAUUGUGGAAAGGUAUUGCUGCCCAGGUAGAGAACAUGAUUGUGAAGGUACGUCAUCUAGAUGCUCACAUACCCAAGAGUCUGACUGAAGAACCUCAAAACAAUCAGCAGGUGAAAUAGGCUGCUAGGAUUCAAGUGGCUCAGGUAGACUUGGACUGGCAACAUAAGAGUGAACUAUUUUUAUCUCAGUGGGCCCAUGACACUUCCAGCCACCAAGGAAGAGAUGCAACAUAUGGAUGGACUCAGGAUCAAGGGGUGGACUUGACUAUGGAUGGUAUUGCACAGCUUAGCCAUGAAUGUGAAACAUACUCUAAUUAAGCAAGCCAAGCAGAUAAAACCUCUUUGUCAUGGAGAAAGAUGGCCACAAUAUUAAUACAGGGAGGCCUGGCAGGUGGGUUACAUCACUCUCCCAUAAACUUGCCAUGUCAGUUACCAUUUGUUUACAAUGGUGGAAGCAACCACCAGAUGGCUGGAAACAUAUCCCAUGCCCCAUGCCACAGCACAAAAUACUACCCUGGGUCUUGAAAAGCAAGUCGUGUGGUGACAUGGCACUCCAGAAAGAAUUGAGUCAGACAGCAGGACUCAUUUGCAAAAAAAAAAAAAAAAAAAACCACAAAAAACAAAACAAAACAAAAAAAAACCUCAUAGACACCUGGGCCAAGGAGAAUGGUAUUGAGUGGAUAUAUUACAUCCCCUAUCAGACAUCAGCCUCUGGAAAAAUUAAAUGAUAAAAUGGACCGUUAAAGGCUACAUUGAGAGCAAUAGGUGCUGGGACAUUCAAACAUUGAUAUACACAUUUAACGAAAGUCGCCUGGUUCGUCAGUACUUGGUGAUCUGCCAGUCAAGCUGGUCCUGGCCAAUCAAAACUCCUGCAGACCACAGAAGGGGAUAAAGUCCCCAUGGUGCAUAUAAGGAACAUUCUGGGCACAACAGGCUGAGUUAUUCCUGCCGUGGGCAAAGGCAAACUUGCUUGUGGGCUUGCUUUUGCUCAAGGACUUGGGUACAUGCGGUGGGUAACAUGGAAUGAUGGGGAUGUCUGGUGUGUACCUCAAGGUGAUCUGAUGCUGGGUAAGAACAGCCAAUAAUUCUAUGAUGUUAAAUUAUUACAUAAUACUGCGUGUCAUCUUUAUUAUGGUCAUUAUAUGUCUUGUUAACAGUAGUAGAGUAAGAACUACCCUGGUUAAAGAAUGAACUCAGAUGGAACCAGAGUUUGUUUCUGCAUGCAGUAAUCCAAAACUGUGAAUCUUUCCUCCUACACAGAAGGACAGAUAAAGAUAAGGCCCGAAGUUAUGAAAUGAAUGAAUAUCGUGGGCAAUUUACAUGAAGGGCCUAUAGACUACGGGGAAAAGAUGUAUAUAUAUAUAUAUCAAAAAGCAAGAUAGGUGAUAGUAAUGAGAGCAGUUAGGAUGUGUAGUAAUUGUAGUGCCAGAGCAUGAUGGAAAUGGUAUGGAAUUAAGGGUAUGUACCGUCUUAGUUUCAGCUGGGAUAAAAUUUCUUUCUUCAGAGUGUCAGGUGUGAUACCAUGUUUUGGUUCUAGGAGAAAAACAAUGUUGACAACACACCCAUGUUUAUAGCUGCUGCUAAGCAGUGUUGUACAGAGUCAACAUCAUUCUCAGUGAAGGACCCAAGAAGCUGGGAGGGAACAGAAUUAGGACGGCUGACUUAAACUGGCCAAAGUGAUAUUCCAUGUCGUAUGACAUCAUACGGGAGGAGUUUUGAAGGGGGUGGGAGCUCAUCUCUUGCUUUUGCACUACUCAGGAGGCUAUCUGGGCAUCAGCUGGGAGAUGUAGAGCAAUUGCUUGUGCACCGCUUGUUAUAUACAUUUAUAUGUAUAUAUGUUUGUAAUAUUUUUCCUUUUCUCUAUCUUAGUAAACAGUUUUAUCUCAAACCAUGAAUUCUACUUUCUUUUUUUCCCAAUUCUUUCCCCCAUUUCCUUGGGAAGGGAGGAAGUGAGUAAACAACUGUAUGGUGCUCAGAUGCCUAUCAGGAUAAAACACAUUGGGCUUUAGUAGAAAAUGCUAUAAGAUAUCCACCUUAAUCAUUGUUGAAAUAUCUUUCAAAUGCAGUCUCCCACACUGCAUGCUACAUCAUUAGCAAACAAGGUGAAAAUGCACAAUGUCUGAGUAGUUCACAAGUCCAAGCUCACACAGAUCUUCACAGCUAUCUGUUGAGCCAACUUGUUUAAUUAUGGCUGAUGGCAUUAAUUUGGGAAUUUUUAUGUCUAGUGUUUUUGCUGGAAUUGUCAUACACCUCUGGUUACUUGGAAUUUUCAAAGUUCAUUUUCCCAUUUAAACCUUGACAAUGACCUAUAGCACUCUUCUGUUCUGUUAUAUAGUUCUGUUCCAAUAGCCAUGUCUGUGAUAUCUCACUCAUAAACCACAACACCACAUUAAUUAUAUGAAUAUCUAGUACUGUCAGGCUUUGUACCACACAAUUACAGGCAAGCUGAGAUAAGUUUUAAGAACUUGAGCUGUGAUUUGAAUUGCUGUUCUUUCAGUUUGAUACUUGCAAC